AGAAGAAGAUGUGCUUGGAUCUGUGUAUGCCCCCGAUUCAUCAUCAUCAGGAGCCCUUCGUGUUUUUCGACAAAAUACUCAAAUGAGAUGAACCGGGAAAUUUGAAGGGAAGUGAGAAAGAUCUUU
This is a non-coding RNA of Caenorhabditis elegans, 126 nucleotides long. The record is from Ensembl. Lineage: Eukaryota; Metazoa; Nematoda; Chromadorea; Rhabditida; Rhabditidae.